CUCAUCACACCGGAAGCUGUUA
This 22-nucleotide microRNA is filed under the name Branchiostoma floridae (Florida lancelet). RNAcentral's name for it is "Bfl-Mir-4868-P2_5p* (star (passenger))". Lineage: Eukaryota; Metazoa; Chordata; Leptocardii; Amphioxiformes; Branchiostomatidae. RNAcentral also lists the same sequence under 1 other name. The record is from RNAcentral.